AGCGAACGCUGGCGGCAGGCCUAACACAUGCAAGUCGAACGAACCUUUCGGGGUUAGUGGCGGACGGGUGAGUAACACGUGGGAACGUGCCUUUAGGUUCGGAAUAACUCAGGGAAACUUGUGCUAAUACCGAAUGUGCCCUUCGGGGGAAAGAUUAAUCGCCUUUAGAGCGGCCCGCGUCUGAUUAGCUAGUUGGUUGAGGUAAUGGCUCACCAAGGCGACGAUCAGUAGCUGGUCUGAGAGGAUGAUCAGCCACAUUGGGACUGAGACACGGCCCAAACUCCUACGGGAGGCAGCAGUGGGGAAUCUUGCGCAAUGGGCGAAAGCCUGACGCAGCCAUGCCGGGUGAAUGAUGAAGGUCUUAGGAUUGUAAAAUUCUUUAACCGGGGACGAUAAUGACGGUACCCGAAGAAGAAGCCCCGGCUAACUUCGG
This 433-nucleotide ribosomal RNA is filed under the name uncultured bacterium. RNAcentral describes it as "partial 16S ribosomal RNA". It matches the Rfam family "Bacterial small subunit ribosomal RNA", at positions 29 to 506 of the family's 1533-position model. The record is from RNAcentral.